UACGUAGGGUGCAAGCGUUGUCCGGAAUUAUUGGGCGUAAAGAGCUCGUAGGCGGUUUGUUGCGUCGGCUGUGAAAACCUGAGGCUCAACCUCAGGCCUGCAGUCGAUACGAGCAGACUAGAGUGUUGCAGGGGAGACUGGAAUUCCUGGUGUAGCGGUGAAAUGCGCAGAUAUCAGGAGGAACACCGGUGGCGAAGGCGGGUCUCUGGGCAACAACUGACGCUGAGGAGCGAAAGCGUGGGGAGCGAACAGGAUUAGAUACCCUG
Molecule: ribosomal RNA, 266 nt
Filed under: uncultured Actinomycetales bacterium
Lineage: Bacteria; Bacillati; Actinomycetota; Actinomycetes; Actinomycetales
Description: partial 16S ribosomal RNA
Rfam family: Bacterial small subunit ribosomal RNA
Source: RNAcentral